GAGUUUGAUCCUGGCUCAGGGUGAACGCUGGCGGCGUGCUUGACACAUGCAAGUCGAACGGUAUGUGGCAACACAUAGAGUGGCGAACGGGUGAGUAACACGUGGGAACGUAUCUUUUGCAGGGGGAUAACUGACCGAAAGGACAGCUAAUACCGCAUAAGUCCGGGAGGAGAAAGGUGCAACAGCAUCGGCAGAAGAGCGGCCCGCGGUCCAUCAGCUAGUUGGUGAGGUAAGGGCUUACCAAGGCGACGACGGAUAGCCGGCGUGAGAGCGUGGCCGGCCACAAGGACACUGAGAUACGGGUCCUACUCCUACGGGAGGCAGCAGUGCGGAAUUUUAGAUAAUGGAGGGAACUCUGAUCUAGCGACGCCGCGUGCAGGAAGAAGGUCUUCGGAUUGUAAACUGCUGUGGUAAGGGAAAAAUGCUAUGUAGAGUGGAAAGCUACAUAGAGGGAUGGUACCUUACUAGAAAGCCCCGGCUAACUACGUGCCAGCAGCCGCGGUAAUACGUAGGGGGCGAGCGUUACCCGGAAUCACUGGGCGUAAAGGGAGCGUAGGUGGCCUAACAUGUCAACUGUGAAAACCCGGAGCUCAACUCCGGACUUGCAGUUGAAACUGGUAGGCUUGAGGACGGUAGAGGAAGACGGAACUGCCAGUGUAGGGGUAAAAUCCUUAGAUAUUGGCAGGAACGCCGGUGACGAAGGUGGUUUUCUGGGCCGGUUCUGACACUGAUGCUCGAAAGCCAGGGGAGCGAACGGGAUUAGAUACCCCGGUAGUCCUGGCCCCAAACGAUGUUCACUAGGUGUGGGGAGCGGAAAGCUCUCCGUGCUAAAGCUAACGCGAUAAGUGAACCGCCUGGGGAGUACGCCCGCAAGGGUGAAACUCAAAGGAAUGACG
This 896-nucleotide ribosomal RNA is filed under the name bacterium enrichment culture clone 2P. RNAcentral's name for it is "bacterial SSU rRNA". It matches the Rfam family "Bacterial small subunit ribosomal RNA", at positions 9 to 915 of the family's 1533-position model. The record is from RNAcentral.